AUAUCGAAAAGCAGACGAACAUGUUAAAACAACAUGAGAAAUUGAGAACAGAGAAUGGAUGGAAUUAUCGCGCGUAGCUCUUUCUAAUAAAGAAAAGUGAGGGCAACGUGUAUUCAAAUUAAACUGUUGAAAGAAAAGUUUAGCAUAGUCGAAUUUAUUGUGAAAUCUAUUAUAUUAGAUUUGCCAUACCUACUCGGGCUACUCCUAGAGUCACAUUGACCCAUUCAGUUUCAAAAAAAGGUUGUGUCAACUGGUGAAUUAGAGUAGGGCUUGCUUGGUUCCUUAAUUGGUCUUCAUCUCAAAUAAAUGAAAUUGAUCUACGGAAACUUCUGCAGUUAGUUGCAAUUGGAGACACUAAGGAUCACUACAGUUUCAAAUGUUAUGCAAUGUAAGAGGUGAAACUUCAAGUUGCUCAAAAUCAGCUGCUCUGUCAAAUGAAAUGACAGGUUGUUUACUACCCAGUUGGUAAAGUAAUAUUGGAAUUUUUUCAUACAGUCACUGGCCAGUGGCAACUAACAUGUUCCAAAAAUAUGGGAGUGCAUCAGAUCCUCGUGUCCCUGUGGGCGUUUCCCAAAAAAGUAAAGAGACAGCAGUUUUUCUAAAGAAAAGGAGAGUCCCACGAGCCUAAAAAGGACAUGCCUGGAAGGGCAGUGUGUAUUAGGUUGGACUAGGUUGGAUUUCAGUCGGUUCAACCGCCGUUGGAUUGCAGAUUCCGCCGCCAUAGUAGGUGGUGGUCACUGUUUCAUCCAACAAAUGAAAACGAAAAGGACCGUUCAGCUCUUCGACAAGUUGGAAGGAAGCGCACCAAGUAUGUCGUUUCUAUAUGGUGGCAUUGCCGAAUUGGAACUGCCGACAAGACCGUGCCGACAAGAACUAGUGCCGGAUGCUCAGCUAGGAGUUUUAGAACAUGGGUUUUGGUGAAAUGACGAUUGCUGGUGGUUCAACCGUUCCCAGCACAGAUGAAUGGAAAUAACAACUUAUGGCUCAAACGCUUUUCGCAGACCAGCCAAUCGACGUCGGCGGAAGAUACAGGCAUGGCAAUUAUAACGAUAAGUUGGUCUGCCCCUGAUCCUUGGAGCACUGGACCAACUUUCCAUAUUGAGACUAUAGAUGGACCACACUGGAAACAACAGGCAAUAUGCAAGAAAGAAGUACUUUAACGUUAAGUCACUAAUGCUGCAACAGGAUGUGAGCUGGAUGACAUAUUCUGGCCUGUUCAACGAUAUGGACUGAGUCUAAAAUAGCUCCCCACCUCCUGGGAGUGAGAACUCGAAGACUCUUCAUUGUUGACGCCAAUAAAGCAGCCACAUUUUCUAUCUUUGUUGGAAAUGUUUUAAUCAAACAAAGUUCUUUUUAAAAAAAUUGUUCUUUUAACAUUUUACUGUAUACUGUUAAUUUCACAGAUUGGGAUGAGCUAUGCAAAAGAUUUAAACACGAAUCCAAUGAAAAGGACAACAGCUUUAUUACUACCAAGCUAUACAGACACAUCAAACAUUUGGCAAAAGCCUUACUCUAAAAGAAAGGGACCAUUGAGCCUUUCGACAAAUUCAAAUAGAGCGCAGCCAACAAAUAUCGUUCAGGUGAAAUCGCAACUUCCGACAGAGGUGCUGGACACGCAGUUUGACGACAUUAGAAAAUGGGUAAAUAUAUUGUUCAGUUUAUUCGCUUCUUAAAUUUCACGUCUGUGUCUUACAGUUCUAGUCGAGCAUCAUUCCUCACCGUAUUGUUAGUUUCGUCAGAUAGUUAUUUAAUUCAUAGCCAAAGUAAAAGAGCAUUUUAAUUGAAUUGGUAUUUCAGAAUUAAAGACUUUAAAAGAUGUUGACUAACCAUUUCCAAGCGUUGACAAAUAACUGCGACGAAAUGAUUGCCUGAAAGUCUGCGCCUGUAGCUUACCGAUAUCUGUCGACUACUGUCAUACCUGUCAUUAUUGUUUUCUCUUUGAGCAGUCAGUUAAAGGCAACCAGUCACUCGCACACACGCAACGUGUUGGCAAACCAAUGGUAGACGGGAGAUUGGUGGUGUCGGUGGAAAGACCAGUCAUAUUGGUCCCCAUUUUCAAACGAUUUAUUAUCCCAGUAGUAACUAUCCACCACUCAACAACUUCAGAUUUUCAUCUUUCAACACAUAAUAUUUUUUUUUUUUUUUUUAAUUUUGAUGGGGUGAGGAUUGGAAGGGUGAUUGGUGAUGGUUCAUAUUCUGAUAACGAGUUAGAUAUUUAAAUCUGUUUUUUAAUGUGAUUCUAUUAUUCAGAAAGAAAUUUCCAAACACGUCAUGGUUAUAUUCCCGUAUAUCCACUGAGCGUAUUUUAAUUUCCCUUCACUGUUCUGGCUGUGCAACUGCCACUGCACCUGCACCUGCAAAAAAAAAAGAAAACCGGAGCUCAUGUUUUCGUUUUGAAAUAAAACGCCCGUCAGUUUGUAGCUAGUUUCUUUUAAUAACGAGAAACCUGUGGGACUAAUGCGAGUUCUAAAUUACCGAAGCGUUUGUUUUUUUCAUGUUGGAACCAGGAAAA
Molecule: long non-coding RNA, 2512 nt
Organism: Daphnia pulex (common water flea)
Lineage: Eukaryota; Metazoa; Arthropoda; Branchiopoda; Diplostraca; Daphniidae
Exons: 8
Source: RefSeq, a predicted model, not a curated record